RNAcentral lists this long non-coding RNA (807 nucleotides) under Rattus norvegicus (Norway rat). RNAcentral describes it as "long non-coding RNA NONRATT003148". Lineage: Eukaryota; Metazoa; Chordata; Mammalia; Rodentia; Muridae. The record is from RNAcentral.
UGAAAUGUCUGAAGCUGGGACAGUGUGGAGAAAUCACAUGGAUUCCCGACACACUGGAGGUUGUGGAGAAGCAGUGCAGCGAACACCUUCUGUUCCACAGAUAGCUUCUCAUCCUAAUGUGAUUGAUUUCCCCGUUUUCUCCAGGGAUUAUUUGAAGUGGACAGCAAAAGAAAUCCAGGCCAUCAACACCUUUGGUGAAAAGAAAUACUAGGACUUCGGUCUUGGGCCCAGGCCCACUGCUGACAGCAUGAUGGAAGGAUGCACUUGCGGUCUAGACUCCCCCUCCCGCCUCCUGGAGUGGGGGUGAGGCGGCGUGGGCAACGGUUGGGAAGCUGUCUGGAGGCCUCUUGCAGAGACAUCAGAAUGCUUUGUUAGAACAAGCGCUGGGGAUCCAUCCUGUGGCUCACCCUAUCAAGCUGAAACCGGAUGUUGCUGCCAAGUUCUUUGGAAGGCUAAACAUUGUUGCCCUUGAACAUCUGCGUCUGCAAAAAGUUCUAGAUGUCAACCUUGUGACUAUACUAAUAAAAUCCUUGAAAGGUGAACAGAGGACAAACUGUACCAAGCCUCUGGUCCAAUGGCAUCCUGGAGUGGAGGGGGCUGCUCUGUGCGUCCUGGAGGUCUCACCCUAACAUGCGUCAGGGCAGAGGAAGUCUUGAGAACCUUGUGGACUUAUCUGUGGCAUCUUGAGAUGAAUACAGCUCUCAGACCUCAUCGGAGAAGCGUCUUUGUGCAGUGGCCAUUCAUUGAUCGGUACAGAGACAAGAGGUCCAAGUGCAGAGAGUGUCUGUGGGGUGCUCAGCCACAGAA